UACAGAGGGGGCAAGCGUUGUUCGGAAUUACUGGGCGUAAAGGGCGCGUAGGCGGCCGCCUAAGUCAGACGUGAAAUCCCUCGGCUCAACCGGGGAACUGCGUCUGAUACUGGGUGGCUUGAAUUCGGGAGAGGGAUGCGGAAUUCCAGGUGUAGCGGUGAAAUGCGUAGAUAUCAGGAGGAACGCCAAUGGCGAAGGCAAGUCUCUGGACAGUUCCUGACGCUCAUGCACGAAGGCCAGGGGAGCAAACGGG
Molecule: ribosomal RNA, 253 nt
Filed under: uncultured bacterium
Lineage: Bacteria
Description: partial 16S ribosomal RNA
Rfam family: Bacterial small subunit ribosomal RNA
Source: RNAcentral